Molecule: RNA transcript, 1289 nt
Organism: Abrus precatorius (Indian licorice)
Lineage: Eukaryota; Viridiplantae; Streptophyta; Magnoliopsida; Fabales; Fabaceae
Gene name: probable WRKY transcription factor 75
Exons: 3
Source: RefSeq, a predicted model, not a curated record
CCUCACAUUCGGUGUAUGUAUCCACUAUAUCAACCACGUUUAGAUUAAGCGCCGCCCCCACCAUUUAUAUUUCCUCUUCUUCAUCUUUUUACCACAUAAAAUUUUUCUUCACUUUUCCUUCACCCUCCUCUAGCUCCUAAGCUACAUCUUUUUUUUUUUUUUUCUUAAUUUCUAGCUACACACAUAUCUAUAUAGUGACAAAGAAUAUUUGAGUUUGGUUGGUUUCAAUGGAGAAUUAUUCCAUGUUGUUCCCCUGUCCAAAUUCUUCUAGCUACCCGGCUUCAGCAAGUGUUCUAGGAAGCUCUCAGCAUGGUUUUAGUGGUCAAAGCUCUAACAACGCAUUUCUGGGUUUGAGGCCUACAAAUGAAAGUAGUGAUCAUCUUGAUGAGAAGUUGGUGAACAAAGGAGAAGGUGGUAGAGAUGGUUUAAUGUCUCAGUUCAGUGGGAGCAUUAAUGUGAGUGAUGAGUUAGGUGGUUCAGGGAACAAUAAAAAGAAAGGGGAGAAAAAGGUUAGAAAGCCUAGAUAUGCUUUUCAAACAAGGAGCCAAGUUGAUAUACUUGAUGAUGGGUAUCGAUGGAGGAAGUAUGGCCAAAAAGCUGUUAAGAACAACAAAUUCCCAAGGAGCUAUUACCGGUGCACGCAUCAAGGAUGCAAUGUGAAAAAGCAAGUCCAACGCUUAACCAAAGAUGAAGGGGUAGUGGUGACCACUUAUGAGGGAGUGCACACCCACCCAAUUGAGAAGACAACAGACAACUUUGAGCACAUUUUGAGUCAGAUGCAAAUAUACACUCCCUUUUGAAGCUUCUUUUCCACAUAAACUGGCACAUUGUCUUCUGCCAGUUACAUCAAUUGGGAAACCCUAGUUUAGUUCCGCUUUUGAUACAAAAAUAAAACUGUGUCAAUAGAAGUAAAACCUAGUUUGCAUAAACUCUUAGACAAUCUUCUUUCCUUUUUUUUUUUUUUUUCUUCUUUUAAAUUGGAAUAUUAGGUUAUGUAAAUUCAGCCGUCAAGUUUGGUACCGCUGAAAAUAUAUACAGGUGGAGAUCAAAAUCUUACGAGCUAGCUUUGCUAAACAAGUCUUGAAGGAGCAGGAUGCCAUCAAUGACUGUGAGCGAAGCAAUUUUCUUCAUUUGCAUCCAAACGUAUAUAUGUUGGGGAAGCGUUUACCUUUAUUCUAUUUUGUUUGUUUGUUUGUUUUUUUUUUUUUUUUCAAAACUGUUGAUUGUCACUCACUUAUUUUAAUAAUAAUAAUAAAAAAAAAGGGCAUGGUAUAGCCCUUAACAAAUGU